CUUCUAGAACCCCUUCCAAUUUUCACGUUGUUGGCCCUUCCGCUCUCCUCCCCGGCGACCGCUGGAGUUGAGUUGGACGGAGUGUCACGUCCCAGUUACGGUCUCAAUAAAGCAGAUUUGGAUUUGAUAUUUCCCCGGCGUCACUCCUUCGUUCUAGAUCUGGCAUGCAGCGGUGCAGGCCGUUGGAGAAGGAGACAUGGAGGUGGUUGCUGCCGUAUCCAAGUUUGACCUCGACGCGGGCGCGAAGACCCGGUUGGCCAUGGGGCACGCGGAUCGGGAUGACAAGGUUCGGCGGCUCCGGGCGCUCAGACAUGGGCACCGGUCGCUCUUGCUGCGCGCACGCUCCGAUGUUCAAGUUGUUGUCCUCCGUCUUGUCUGGUAGCACGGCUGGUGCGGGACGAAGGAAUACGACAGCCUUCUGGCGGGUCGCUCAUCCAGUACAACACCCCGCCGACGCAGGCGAGCAGCGUGUCGUCCGCCACUGGCAGGGGCGGCGGCGGCACCGCGUACUCCCGGGAGUGGUACCUGAAGUCAUCGCACUGCAGCACCGCGCACAACUGCACACCGCGAAGUACUCGCGAGCAGGGCCGGUCCUGAGGGCACUCCGCGCGCGCAGUCUCCUCGGCCUCUACUCCUUCUCUUCCCCGAGAUUGGCGGAAAAUCAGGCAGGCUUUUCUGAUUGUUCAUUUGUUCGUGAAGGCAAGGUCUUGCGUGAAGGUCAUCCUCCUACAUCGCUGUGUCAAGCACUCUGAUUGCUCGUGUUGAUUGGAGUUAGAAAAGAGGAACCCAGAUUUUUGUCCGUGAACUGUAAGCAGCAACAAGAUCUUGCAAUUUCUAAUUUUCUUUUCUAGCCAUCUACGUGAUUCAGGUGCCUGGUUCCAUGCCCUCCUUUGCAUUUUUUUAGUUUAAUCAGCAGCGUUUUUAGUUUCUUCUAUCAUAUGUUUGUGUGCUAAUUCCAUGCCUUGCUCCAGUAACUAACAAGACUGCUCUUAAUUUACCAAGAUGUCAUCUAGAAUGUAUCCAUCUGCUAAUGACUUGAUGGAGUCAUAGAAAUGAACUAUUGACACUUUUCUAGAACAGAUGCAACUGCUUAUAAUUCUGAAUAAUUAGCUUUAGUUACUGUUAAAAACAACCUGUGAAAAAUUAAGGAUGAUAAUAACUUGAGUGGGUACGAAAGUGUACCGAAUUUACCUAAUAUUCCGCAUAUAAGUGUUGAUGGACAAGAACGAACAACUUUUACCUUCAAUGUUCAUGAUCUCGUUUUUUCGUACUCUAGAUCAGAAUGCAACAUAGAUUAUAGUGUACUGACUUUUUUUUUGCAAAAAAUAGUAAUAUGAAUACUCAAUGCAACAUAGAUUAUAGUGUACUGAGUUUUUUUUUUGCAAAAAAUAGUAAUAUGAAUACUCAUAUGUUUAUGUGGUGUCAGGGCCCCUCUGUGUUAUCUUGCCCCGGGCCCCCGAAAUUUCUUGACCGGCCCUGCUCACGAGAGCCGAAAUCCCUGGAGGCUGGAGUGGUAGAUGAUCUAACGCGACAGUGGGUCGAAAGUGAGGUAGACGCUCGUGCCGCCGGUCGAACGCGUGCUGCCGGUCGGCUCCUUGUGUCCUCCAGUGGCUUCCAUUGAGGUAGGCUUUGUGGAGGCAUGUGUAUGGGUUGUAGUCUGUAGAGUUAGUCGUGCGUCGGUGCUCACCAGGUUCAUCCUGUGGCAUUUCUUGGAGGAGAUGCGGUCGACAUGUAUGCUGGGAGCACGCUAAUGGGGGCACCUAAAGUGUUCGACGGAAUGGCUAUCACAUUGGUGCUUUCCCAUCUCACCUCACCACCACGUGAGCAAAACCACCUACCAGAGCAUCGGGGUUGAUUUGUCUGGUUUUAGAAAGUAGAGGGGAUUAAGAUCCCUGUUUUAGAGGUCAGGGCCUCAGGGGGGCUAUGUGGCCAAAAUGUAAUACUUAUGGGGUCAUAUACACCUUUUUUUCUUAAAUCUAAUAGGUUUCUUCCUCAGUGAUAUCCCAAAUUAUCCCACCAAGAAAGAUGGCCGCGUCGUCCUGGCCUGCGCUCCCGGCCACCCGGCGGGAUGUCCAGGCUGUCGUUGCCAAGGACGUGGAGCUGCACUCGCCUCCAUUGGUGCACCGUGCCCAAUGUCAGUGCUGGUGUGUACGCACAUAUAUUUCAUCCCCAAUAUUGCUUAUUUGAUCAACUUCGGGUCUGCAAUAGUUUAAUCAGCUCUUUUUAGAGAUAUAGACUAAUCAAUACAGUAGCUUAAUAACUUGUAAUCACUAGGGCCAAUUAGCUGAUGGGAGACAGGGAGAACGAUGGUUGAAGAGGCUUAGGCAGUCUGCUGACAAGGAAAUGCAAUAGUGAUUUCGCAAGAGAAAUGGAGGUGAUGGCUAGGCUCGGGCACGACAAUGUUGUCCGCCUCCUUGCUUACUUCAGUGAAUGCGAUGAGCGGAUACUCAUCUAUAGCUAUAUGUCGAACAACAGCAUGGAUCUCUGCUUAUACUUCUAUAUUUUUUCUUGCCUAUGCUCAGAAUUUGGAUCACAAUAGUAAAUAGAUCAUUAGGUUCUCUUCUAUAAUUGUUGGUUGUUGUUGUUGUGUGCUCCAACACAUAUGAGCAGCUCAUUGUUGCACGGAGAAAAGUUUCAUGCACAUAAUUAAAGUUCCGGAUAAUCGAAGUACAAAUCUGUAAAUACCUUUAGAGGAAGCUUGUAUGCUUGACAUGCUUGACCAUGUAAAAGCUCAUGCAUGAGUAAUUAUAUCGUCAGGUUAUUCUUUUUAUCUGCAAGGUGAGCUUCAAAAUUCUGUAAACUAGCGUUUCCAAUAGUUCAGAGCUGCCACUUUACUUUCAGUAUUUAGGUGGAUGAUCUCUGUUUAAAUUCCUAAUACAAGUAAUGCACUCCGGCAAGUUCUAUUUAUUUGUGUCCUUGCUGCCAAUAGAUGUAAUUUCAUCACGAGCACCCAAGUACAGCAGCACUAUUGUCGUUCAUUAUUGUUGGCUUAUGCCCUAGAGAUAAAAUAAUUAGCAUUUGCCUCUGUGUGCCGGACUGUAGUGGUACCAUAUGCCUAUUGUAUCAUUUUCAUCCUUGAUAGAUGCAGCGAGUAAAUUGUCACUGAAAAAUGUUGUGGUUGCAGCGUUUGUUUUGUUAAUUCUGCAUUCCUUCCUUUAUGAGAAAAGUGUUACUUCUGCGUUAGUUAUAUGUUAUGUUUCUCUAUGUCCAUUGCUUGUAUUGACUUCAGAUUGUGCAUAUGUGGAGAAGCAUGUCUGCUCCCAGUGGAGAGGACUUUCAGAAAGACAACUAGGCACUUGCUUUAGCAUUGACGAUUACUAUUUUUGUAAAAAUAUUCAUACGUGUGUUUGAAUUGUUUUUAAUAGCUGUCUUUAUUACUCUCUGAUUGAAAAAAAAUCGGAGGCUGCCUACAGCAAGUCUCUUUGUCAUCAGCGCCUUUCUUUGCUUGGUAGCUCCACAUCCAAUCUUUCAAGCUACAUCCAGAUGAAGAAAAAAAAAUGGCACAUCUUUAUGAGCGCAGGGAGUUUCCCUACCCUGGUGAUGAAGAGGCAGUUGAGGAGUUCAUAAAAAGUGGGGGUGCUCUAGGUACCACGAUCGGGCCCAAAGGUUUUGCGGAUACAAACGUGGACUCUGAUAACAUGCAGAAGCAACUGCAGUCGAAAAAGUUCGACCAGGAGGCACAAAAGCUCUGGUUCCGAAUGAGGAAUGAGGUUGCACAUGAACUACAAGAGAAGGGAUUUGAUGUUGAAUGAAGUUUUAUUCUUAUAAAGGAG
Molecule: RNA transcript, 3773 nt
Organism: Triticum aestivum (bread wheat)
Lineage: Eukaryota; Viridiplantae; Streptophyta; Magnoliopsida; Poales; Poaceae
Exons: 3
Source: RefSeq, a predicted model, not a curated record